This is a long non-coding RNA of Lactuca sativa (garden lettuce), 1411 nucleotides long. RefSeq lists it as uncharacterized. NCBI's taxonomy places the organism in Eukaryota, Viridiplantae, Streptophyta, Magnoliopsida, Asterales, Asteraceae. The record is from RefSeq and is a predicted model, not a curated record.
AUUCUUGAGGAUGAUAAAUGCAUUUAGGUUAAACUAGAGGUUUCAUAUUGAAUUUAGGCUCAAACGGCCAACAAAGUUGCUUCUCGGAAAAUAUUUGAGCUCUAUAAAUAUUGCAAUUCUUUAUCCCCAUAUCCUUCAAGUUUCCAUCAUUUUCUCUCACUUUCUUUCGAAUACUUUUUGUGACCAAAUUCAUCGAUGGCCGGCCUUCAAUACAACUUCUUUCCAACCGAUUUCUUGUAUCCCCAAUCUACAAAGAUAAGUAAAGAUGUUUUACUUCCACAAACUCUUCCAUUAAUUAUCCAAAAACCAGAAAUCUUACUUGAAGAUUCAACCAAAAUGAAGUCUGCUAAUGGUAUCAAGAAGCAAAUCAAGACUCCAAAGCUUUCCACGCAUCAAUAAACAUAUAUGAGCACAUCAUGUCUUCAUGAUGUUCAAAUACAGAUUACCAAGUAUUUGUAUUAAUAGAACUCUUUUAACGUUCUAUAUAUUUUGUUUUUUUUUCUUUGUAGAUCUUGUUUAUUUUGAUAUCACUUCGAAUGUAUACAACUUAUAAAUACAAAUUAAUAAUACGGGGCUAACAUGAAUAUGAACUAGCUUAUGUUCAUUUUAUAUUGUUUCUAGUUGUUUUACUUCACCUUUUGUUCUUAUUUUUGCUUUUUCCUUGCCAUAUAUGUCUGUACAAUUUAUAAUGUUUUAUUUAAAACAUAGUUCAAUAAAAGCACAUGUCUAACAAUUGAUUACUUAAAGAGUAAAAUGUCUUUGUUGAUACAAAUUUUAAUUUUGUGGAAAAUAAUCAAUCUGUAUAACUAUUUGCUAGUAAGUAAAUAAAUAAUUUGGAUGAAUAUUUAAAAUAUGCAUUUUCAAACAACUGGAAACAUUGUAACUUUUUAGACUGUAGAGUGUGGUCUUCGCACCUCCUCAGCAUCGAUAUCUCCUUCAAUCGAUUGAUAUGUUCCUUCCAUCACCAACGAUCCUCUUCCUAUUUAACGAUGCUUCAAUAAAUUUCAUGAAAUUGAUGUUUCUAGUUCUCCAUCCACCACUACCAGUCGUCUUCCUCUUCAAUCGAUUGUUGGGAUUUGAUUUAUAAAAUCGAUUUGGCUUCCUACCAGAAAUCUUGAAUUUUGUUAUGGGUUUGUCCUUCUCACCAUUUUCAUUCGCUUGGGAAGAAAUCAUGCAUCAUAGUUUCAUAAUCUUGCCUUAUGAACUUGAUAUUGGAUUACAAACCGAUGGCUUUUGAAAAUCUGAAUCAAACUUGAAAUAUCUACAUCAAGAGAAAAUUGUUCAAUCAAUGGUCUUAGAUUGCUAAUCAGUGUAUUGUUGAUUUGUUUUGUUUUUUAUGGAAUUUAAUAAGCAGAGGUAUUUUAGGUACAAAAAUAUUAUAUGCAUGUUUUGUUCUAAAUGUUGAAUCAAA